RNAcentral lists this ribosomal RNA (443 nucleotides) under uncultured bacterium. Its description in RNAcentral is "partial 16S ribosomal RNA". It matches the Rfam family "Bacterial small subunit ribosomal RNA", at positions 338 to 795 of the family's 1533-position model. The record is from RNAcentral.
CCUACGGGUGGCUGCAGUGGGGAAUAUUGGGCAAUGGGCGCAAGCCUGACCCAGCAACGCCGCGUGAAGGAAGAAGGCUUUCGGGUUGUAAACUUCUUUUGUCAGGGACGCAGCAAGUGACGGUACCUGACGAAUAAGCCACGGCUAACUACGUGCCAGCAGCCGCGGCAAUACGUAGGUGGCAAGCGUUAUCCGGAUUUACUGGGUGUAAAGGGGGGGUAGGCGGGACUGGAAGUCAGAUGUGAAAACCACGGGCUCAACCUGUGGCCUGCAUUUGACACUGGAGUUCUUGAGUACUGGAGAGGCAGACGGAAUUCCUGGUGUAGCGGUGAAAUGCGUAGAUAUUAGGAGGAACACCAGUGGCGAAGGCGGUCUGCUGGACAGCAACUGACGCUGAGGCGCGAAAGCGUGGGGAGCGAACAGGAUUAGAUACCCCGGUAGUC